AAACCAGCACCUCAAGUGGUCAGGAUGAUUAUUGGGCCUAAAGCAUCCGUAGCCUGCUCAGUAAGUUUUCGGUUAAAUCUGUACGCUUAACGUACAGGCUGCCGGGAAUACUGCAGAGCUAGGGAGUGGGUGAGGUAGACGGUACUCGGGAGGAAGUGGUAAAAUGCUUUGAUCUCUCGAUGACCACCUGUGGCGAAGGCGGUCUACCAGAACACGUCCGACGGUGAGGGAUGAAAGCUGGGGGAGCAAACCGGAUUAGAAACCCGUGUAGUCC
This 274-nucleotide ribosomal RNA is filed under the name uncultured bacterium. RNAcentral's name for it is "partial 16S ribosomal RNA". It matches the Rfam family "Archaeal small subunit ribosomal RNA", at positions 473 to 747 of the family's 1478-position model. The record is from RNAcentral.